AUUGUAGCGAGUUGGCGACCGGUUUGUCUGCUGCGGCGUUAAUGGAGAAAUGCUCGAUUCGUGGUAUGGUUGGCUUCGGCUGAACAAUGCGCUUAUUGGGUGAUUUUCCUGCUGUGGCGUGAUGGACUGGUGAACCAUGGCUCUUUAGCUUGGCAUUUGAAUCGGCUUUGCUGUUGCGAAGUAGAGUGGCGGCUUCGGCUGCCCCCGGGUCGAUCCAUUUGGGAAAUGUUGUGUACUUCGGUAUGCAUCUCAAAUGGACCUGAUUCCAGGCCAAGUUCCCCAAACUG
RNAcentral lists this ribosomal RNA (287 nucleotides) under Phytophthora infestans (potato late blight agent). RNAcentral's name for it is "partial 18S ribosomal RNA". Lineage: Eukaryota; Oomycota; Peronosporomycetes; Peronosporales; Peronosporaceae. The record is from RNAcentral.